UACGGGGGGAGCAAGCGUUGUUCGGAUUUACUGGGCGUAAAGGGCGCGUAGGCGGCGCAACAAGUCACUUGUGAAAUCUCCGGGCUUAACCCGGAGCGGCCAAGUGAUACUGUCGUGCUAGAGUGCGGAAGGGGCUACUGGAAUUCUCGGUGUAGCGGUGAAAUGCGUAGAUAUCGAGAGGAACACCUGCGGCGAAGGCGGGUAGCUGGGCCGACACUGACGCUCAUGCACGGAAAGCGUGGGGAGCAAACAGG
RNAcentral lists this ribosomal RNA (254 nucleotides) under uncultured bacterium. RNAcentral describes it as "partial 16S ribosomal RNA". It matches the Rfam family "Bacterial small subunit ribosomal RNA", at positions 524 to 776 of the family's 1533-position model. The record is from RNAcentral.